Molecule: ribosomal RNA, 395 nt
Filed under: uncultured bacterium
Lineage: Bacteria
Description: partial 16S ribosomal RNA
Rfam family: Bacterial small subunit ribosomal RNA
Source: RNAcentral
AUACGUAGGGUGCAAGCGUUAAUCGGAAUUACUGGGCGUAAAGCGUGCGCAGGCGGUUUUGUAAGACAGAGGUGAAAUCCCCGGGCUCAACUUGGGAACUGCCUUUGUGACUGCAAGGCUAGAGUACGGCAGAGGGGGAUGGAAUUCCCGGGGUAGCGGGGAAAUGGGUAGAUAUGCGGAGGAACACCGAUGGCGAAGGCAAUCCCCUGGGCGUGUACGGAGGCUCAUGCACGAAAGCGUGGGGAGCAAACAGGAUUAGAUACCCUGGUAGUCCACGCCCUAAACGAUGUCAACUGGUUGUUGGGUCUUCAUUGACUCAGUAACGAAGCUAACGCGUGAAGUUGACCGCCUGGGGAGUACGGCCGCAAGGUUGAAACUCCAAGGAAUUGACGGGG